AACCUAGCACACCUGCGGUGUGUACCUGCGGAAGGAUCAUUACUGAGUGUAAAAACUCCCAAACCCACUGUGAACAUACCACUGUUGCUUCGGCGGAUGCGCCCCGGGCGCGCCCUACAAAGGCGUGCCCCGGAUCAAGGCCACCGCCGGGGGACCGAAACUCUUGUUUUCCUAAGGAUUCUCUGAGUGUGAUUAUUAAAUCAAAUCAAAACUUUUAACAACGGAUCUCAGAUCGGAAGA
This 240-nucleotide unclassified non-coding RNA is filed under the name soil metagenome. Its description in RNAcentral is "partial contains 5.8S ribosomal RNA, internal transcribed spacer 2, and large subunit ribosomal RNA". The record is from RNAcentral.